AGCGCAGGCGGUUCCUUAAGUCUGAUGUGAAAGCCCACGGCUCAGCCGUGGAAGGUCAUUGGAAACUGGGGAACUUGAGUGCAGAAGAGGAGAGUGGAAUUCCAUGUGUAGCGGUGAAAUGCGUAGAUAUAUGGAGGAACACCAGUGGCGAAGGCGACUCUCUGGUCUGUAACUGACGCUGAGGCUCGAAAGCGUGGGGAGCAAACA
RNAcentral lists this ribosomal RNA (207 nucleotides) under uncultured bacterium. RNAcentral describes it as "partial 16S ribosomal RNA". It matches the Rfam family "Bacterial small subunit ribosomal RNA", at positions 568 to 774 of the family's 1533-position model. The record is from RNAcentral.